Long non-coding RNA from Larimichthys crocea (large yellow croaker), 578 nucleotides. RefSeq lists it as uncharacterized. The transcript is spliced from 3 exons. Lineage: Eukaryota; Metazoa; Chordata; Actinopteri; Sciaenidae. The record is from RefSeq and is a predicted model, not a curated record.
ACGUUCUCUUUACUUGCUUUCUGCCUGGAUCUGCUGAUCGUGAUACGACAUGUAACCUGUACUUUGGAGAAUCAAGUCUUCCAGCUCAAAUAGUAACCAUCAGGGGGAAAACAACCCCAACCAAUCAGUGGUUCUGCCAGUUUAUUGUCACAAUCGAAGAUUUGUUGGGACAUCUAAGUUCAGUUCAACAAAGUGAUGCCAGCUGUGAUUACACUUUGAGAAGUGAACCCAACUCUUUGUCUCCUCGUAGUGAUGGAUACAGCUUGACUGAUAUUGUGGAAAAAGAGUCACAUGUGACACAGACUAUGACGACAUCUACUGUGAGUACAACGACUGAAACUCCUGCAAAACAAACUUCAGUUCUGACAGUGAGCACGCCUCAUGUUACAACUCCUGAAACUCCUGCAAAACAAACAUCAGGUAACGUGAUUACAAAUAUAGUAUAACUUUAAUUUAUCACAAAUUACAAAUGUGUUUUUUCCUAUUUUGACCAUUUUGAAAUGUGUAUUUCUACAUUCACUGAGUCUGACUGUUGGUAGAACAAGCAACACUUUAGUAGUUAGUUUUAUUUAUACUUC